UAACAGAACAGAGUGAGGGGCGAGGGGCGAGGGGCUGCAAAUCAGCGCAGACGCGACCCACUGCUAGCAACGACGACCCACGGCGAGCGACGACGAUCUUGGGCGACGGCUAACACGACUUUGGCGGUGGCUAACGGUGAUCGCGAGCGACGACGCCAAAUUGAGAACUGAGUGCGAGUUCUUGGAAUCGCAGUAGGCGAAGGAAGAAGAUGAGCUUCGUGAGUGAGCUAAAUUACAAAACCCUAAUCUGUGAUGGUAACAUUUUUGCCAUUGAUUUCUGUGACCUCACCAUCAAUCCAUGCAUCCUCAGGAUCCUCAACCCAAACCUGUGAUCCAACGAUGAUGUUCACAGGCGUUCCCUGAACCAAUCAUAACAAGGCAUGAAAAGUGUUAACAGACAUGAUCUGACACCAGAAAAGUUGAGAGGUGAUCAGCAACACAGAGAGAACAAAUUUUCUUGUUCAGAUUCUCACCAUGAUGUGCUAAACUCUUCUGAUCAUGAAAAUCAGAAUGGUGGCUUGUGGAACAAGACCAAUAUGAAUGAAUGAAUGCUUGUGAAAGAGUUGGUGGAUGCAAAAGGGUGGUGGAGUUGUAUAUGAAAGAAUGCUGCUGUGUGUUGCAGAGUUUUCAGAAAGCAGAAAGGAAUGUCCAAAAGAAAAACAAAGGCAUAGGAAAUGCCAGGGUGGUUAACAACUCUUUAAAGCUAAAGGGGAAGAAGUAAGCACCCCCUCACCUCACCUUACCACCUUUUCUUCCCUCUCAGUCCCAUGUACUUUUUUUUUCUCCUUCCACGACAGAUGCUGACUUGGCACCAACAGAAGCCCCAGAAAAAAAUGUGUCACAAAAAAUAAUUAUUCAAAUAUUCAAUUCAUGUGUCUGCUGCCUGCAACAUGAUCACACAGAUGGGGCCAUGUUGCUUAAGCCAUACGUAGAAUGAGCCACCGUCCUCCAGCUGAUAAUUUUGAAUAAUUUGUUUUUUGUUGCUUCAUCAUAAUUUUGGUUUUAAAUAGUUUUGUUAUGGAUUGGUCAAGUGUGUAUUAUUUGGUAUUAUGGUGAGUAGUACUAGUACUGGUAGCAUACACAGCUGGUGUUACUUGUCAUAUUUCAUUGUUAUAGUAAUUACAAUCCUCUA
This is a long non-coding RNA of Vigna umbellata (rice bean), 1132 nucleotides long. RefSeq lists it as uncharacterized. NCBI's taxonomy places the organism in Eukaryota, Viridiplantae, Streptophyta, Magnoliopsida, Fabales, Fabaceae. The record is from RefSeq and is a predicted model, not a curated record.